RNAcentral lists this ribosomal RNA (478 nucleotides) under uncultured organism. RNAcentral's name for it is "partial 16S ribosomal RNA". It matches the Rfam family "Bacterial small subunit ribosomal RNA", at positions 331 to 800 of the family's 1533-position model. The record is from RNAcentral.
GUACACUCCUACGGGAGGCAGCAGUGGGGAAUUUUGGACAAUGGGCGAAAGCCUGAUCCAGCAAUGCCGCGUGUGUGAAGAAGGCCUUCGGGUUGUAAAGCACUUUUGUCCGGAAAGAAAUCCUUGGCUCUAAUACAGUCGAGGGAUGACGGUACCGGAAGAAUAAGCACCGGCUAACUACGUGCCAGCAGCCGCGGUAAUACGUAGGGUGCGAGCGUUAAUCGGAAUUACUGGGCGUAAAGCGUGCGCAGGCGGUUUGCUAAGACCGAUGUGAAAUCCCCGGGCUCAACCUGGGAACUGCAUUGGUGACUGGCAGGCUAGAGUAUGGCAGAGGGGGGUAGAAUUCCACGUGUAGCAGUGAAAUGCGUAGAGAUGUGGAGGAAUACCGAUGGCGAAGGCAGCCCCCUGGGCCAAUACUGACGCUCAUGCACGAAAGCGUGGGGAGCAAACAGGAUUAGAAACCCCAGUAGUCCCAUGA